GAUGAACGCUGGCGGCGUGCCUUAAUACAUGCAAGUAGAACGCUGAAGCUUGGUGCUUGCACCGAGCGGAUGAGUUGCGAACGGGUGAGUAACGCGUAGGUAACCUGCCUCUUAGCGGGGGAUAACUAUUGGAAACGAUAGCUAAUACCGCAUAAAAGUCGAUAUCGCAUGAAGUUGACUUGAAAGGUGCAAUCGCAUCACUAAGAGAUGGACCUGCGUUGUAUUAGCUAGUUGGUGAGGUAACGGCUCACCAAGGCGACGAUACAUAGCCGACCUGAGAGGGUGAUCGGCCACACUGGGACUGAGACACGGCCCAGACUCCUACGGGAGGCAGCAGUAGGGAAUCUUCGGCAAUGGGGCAACCCUGACCGAGCAACGCCGCGUGAGUGAAGAAGGUUUUCGGAUCGUAAAGCUCUGUUGUAAGAGAAGAACGAGUGUGAGAGUGGAAAGUUCACACUGUGACGGUAACUUACCAGAAAGGGACGGCUAAUAC
This 493-nucleotide ribosomal RNA is filed under the name Streptococcus parasanguinis. RNAcentral's name for it is "bacterial SSU rRNA". It matches the Rfam family "Bacterial small subunit ribosomal RNA", at positions 28 to 503 of the family's 1533-position model. The record is from RNAcentral. Lineage: Bacteria; Bacillati; Bacillota; Bacilli; Lactobacillales; Streptococcaceae.